RNAcentral lists this long non-coding RNA (213 nucleotides) under Elaeis guineensis (African oil palm). RNAcentral's name for it is "long non-coding RNA (EGUI_LNC018442)". The record is from RNAcentral. Lineage: Eukaryota; Viridiplantae; Streptophyta; Magnoliopsida; Arecales; Arecaceae.
AGGGUCACCAUGGAGGAGGAUAGCUUAUGGGUGGCUUACAGAAGGAGGAUGAGGAGAAAUGGAUGAAGAGGAAGAGAAGGAGGUGGAGGAAUGGAUGGAAGCAGAGGGAGCCACGAUGAGGAAGAGAAAUAGGUGAAGAAAAAGGAAAGGGAGAAAGAUGGGUUAUCGAUGAAAAGGGAUGGAUGUGGAAACAGCCGUUAUAGAGAGAUAGGA